Molecule: ribosomal RNA, 368 nt
Filed under: uncultured organism
Description: bacterial SSU rRNA
Rfam family: Bacterial small subunit ribosomal RNA
Source: RNAcentral
CGAAGGACCCGAGCGUUAUCCGGAUUUACUGGGUUUAAAGGGUGCGUAGGUGGACCUGUAAGUCAGUGGUGAAAGCCCGAAGCUCAACUUCGGAACUGCCAUUGAUACUGCUGGUCUUGAGUAUAGUUGAGGUAGGCGGAAUAUGUCAUGUAGUGGUGAAAUACUUAGAUAUGACAUAGAACACCGAUUGCGAAGGCAGCUUGCUAAGCUAUAACUGACACUGAUGCACGAAAGCGUGGGGAGCAAACAGGAUUAGAUACCCUGGUAGUCCACGCCCUAAACGAUGAUAACUCGAUGUUGGCGAUACACUGUCAGCGUCCAAGCGAAAGCAUUAAGUUAUCCACCUGGGGAGUACGACCGCAAGGUUG